RNAcentral lists this ribosomal RNA (460 nucleotides) under uncultured bacterium. Its description in RNAcentral is "partial 16S ribosomal RNA". It matches the Rfam family "Bacterial small subunit ribosomal RNA", at positions 338 to 795 of the family's 1533-position model. The record is from RNAcentral.
CCUACGGGUGGCAGCAGUGAGGAAUAUUGGUCAAUGGACGAGAGUCUGAACCAGCCAAGUAGCGUGAAGGAUGACUGCCCUAUGGGUUGUAAACUUCUUUUAUAUGGGAAUAAAAUGUUCCACGUGUGGGAUUUUGUAUGUACCAUAUGAAUAAGGAUCGGCUAACUCCGUGCCAGCAGCCGCGGUAAUACGGAGGAUCCGAGCGUUAUCCGGAUUUAUUGGGUUCAAAGGGAGCGUAGGUGGAUUGUUAAGUCAGUUGUGAAAGUUUGCGGCUCAACCGUAAAAUUGCUGUUGAAACUGGCAGUCUUGAGUACAGUAGAGGUGGGCGGAAUUCGUGGUGUAGCGGUGAAAUGCUUAGAUAUCACGAAGAACUCCGAUUGCGAAGGCAGUUCACUGGACUGCAACUGACACUGAGGCUCGAAAGUGUGGGUAUCAAACAGGAUUAGAUACCCGGGUAGUC